Molecule: ribosomal RNA, 297 nt
Filed under: Enkianthus campanulatus
Lineage: Eukaryota; Viridiplantae; Streptophyta; Magnoliopsida; Ericales; Ericaceae
Description: partial 28S ribosomal RNA
Rfam family: Eukaryotic large subunit ribosomal RNA
Source: RNAcentral
UGGGCGAGAGACCGAUAGCAAACAAGUACCGCGAGGGAAAGAUGAAAAGGACUUUGAAAAGAGAGUCAAAGAGUGCUUGAAAUUGUCGGGAGGGAAGCGAAUGGGGGCCGGCGAUGCGCCCCGGUCGGAUGUGGAACGGCUAAUAGCCGGUCCGCCAAUCGACUCGGGGCGUGGACCGGUGCGGAUUGGGACGGAGGCCAAAGCCCAGGAAGUCGUUAACCUGCGGAGACGCCUUCGCCCCGAUCGUGGCUGGCAGCGCGCGCCAUCCGGCGUGCUUCGGCAUCUGCGCGCUCCCGG